RNAcentral lists this ribosomal RNA (128 nucleotides) under Amanita sturgeonii. RNAcentral's name for it is "Amanita sp. 'sturgeonii' partial 28S ribosomal RNA". It matches the Rfam family "Eukaryotic large subunit ribosomal RNA", at positions 1 to 127 of the family's 3401-position model. The record is from RNAcentral. Lineage: Eukaryota; Fungi; Basidiomycota; Agaricomycetes; Agaricales; Amanitaceae.
UUGACCUCAAAUCAGGUAGGACUACCCGCUGAACUUAAGCAUAUCAAUAAGCGGAGGAAAAGAAACUAACAAGGAUUCCCCUAGUAACUGCGAGUGAAGCGGGACAAGCUCAAAUUUAAAAUCUGGCA